GCACACGUCGAGAGAACCAGAAAUAUCCUUUUAAAAAAGAAAAAUCAAUUUCUUUAGAUUUGACCUAGCUAUAGGCUAUUAUACGUGCGCUAACGAGCCUACAUUAUCCAAAUGAGUUGGUUAAUACUUCAACAUUUUCUUCACAGUUGUAAUUAUAUCUAUUUAAUCGUGUCAAGCUGUUUAGAACUUUAGAUUUUGUUGAGAUAGUCGAGAGACCCGAAUUGGUGAUAUGUUAUCGCCCUUUGAAAAUGUUCGUUCUUUUGAAAGUAGAACUUUUUGGGAAGUUCACUAUGUAACGAGUCACCUUCGACUCGAAUCCUCACGAAACUUUUCCUCCAUCGUUUUAUAUCAAUAUAACAUUCAAAAGAGUUUGGUUUUAUCAGUUCGCCGAGCGAUAAAUGGGGUCGCACAGUGAAGCACCGGUGGGCGGUGGCGUCUUUUAUUCCAUUAAACAUGUAGGACGAGUGGCUUGAAAUAAUUAAUCCACUGUUAUAACUAAUAAAAUAAGAGUCCUCAACUGAAGAAACGAAAACAAUUUGAUGCUUGAUUUACUCCCUUCUCCGUUAGACAUGAUGGAGAUGGGAACAUCAAAUUCACCUUUGCAACAAGUUAAAAAACCUGAUUCCAUUUAAAUAAUUGAUUCGAAAGAACAGAGAAGCUGGAAUGGACGGCUGUCUCUGGAAGUGAAGCUAUAUAUACAUCGCCGUUGCCAUUGACAACCGAUCCAGACCUCUCCCAUUCGUCCGGAUGGUAUAUAGUUUAAUAAGCAUCCUGGCUUUUAGUAGGCCUUUAGAUGUUAUUACGGAUUUGGCUUAUACAUAUAAUCUGACAGUCAACAGGAAAACAUUUAUUCCAUCACAGCACAGGGGUCGUAUGCCUUUUUACUUCAAGGUAAUAACGCGGGAAAAAAAGAUAUUCAAAUCUAAUUGGCUAAUCAAUUAUAUUGAUCCUGUUCUUUCGAGAAUCGCAUUAAUUCAACAUGACAAAGUUUGAACAAUAUAAUCAUUUAAUCAAGGUUGCCAAGUGCCGACGGGGAAAAUCGCAUUUUGAUGGGGGGAGUGUGUGAAUGACGUCAUAGUAGUCCUAUAUACCGAGUUGGCGCACGGCUAUAAUUGUCAUGCGCAAUAGGAUUCUCAUCACUAACGCGGCGGAAUAUAUUAAAUCCAGACAGAGCUAUCCGCUCUUCCCAGUCGGUUAUAAAUACACGUUCCGCACAAUGGGCGGACGUGGUGAGGCUGGUGUCACUACUAACGUUACCCUCCCGUGGUGGAACAACACACUCGAAUUUCAAAUCAUGGAUCAACAUUUCACACGAGCUCAGGAGAUUUUUCGGUCGUCGGUCGUCGCCGUCGGACUAUUUCUGAACGCUCUCGUGUUCGCCGUAGUGGGUUUGUCGCGACAGUUGCGCUAUUACCCUCGCCACAUUUUCUGGGCCGCCAUUUCCUUCUUCGAAUGCCUUUUCUUGGUCGAGUACGCCCUGGAAUUGGCCGUCGUGAUCGAUCAAGACGGCCAGGCCUGUCGGAUAUUACUUUUAAUUUACCCGGUCGACUACUCCCUACUGUUGUCGUGUCUCCUGCUGGCCGCCAUCGACCGAUACGUGUCGAUUGUGCGCUACGAAUGGUACAAGGCCAACGUCACCAAUCGCGGGGUCGUCUUGUUGAUCGCCAUCGUGUCCGUCGUAUCGUUUUCCAUCAUCACCAGUCCGUUUUGGACCGGCCAUCAAUCGAUUGACAACUGCACCGUUAAUUUGACUCACGUGAAUCGGGUUUUCGUGUGGGAUUUGUUGCUGGGCCUCGCUUGCGUCGCUCUCCACUUGAACAUUUUCAUUCGGACGAGAGCUCUCGUCCGGCAGUAUGUGCCCAGCUCUCGUCAGACGCCCAUAACGGUCAGAUUUUUACGGUCGUCCGUCGGCCCUCCCAACGCCAGUUCUGAGCUAGGAGUGAGUCAGAACAAUUUGCCCACGUCAACGGGAAGAGUGUUUAUCACGAUUCCCGAAAAUCUGACGACCAACAAACGGGACAGUUUGCAUAAUCAACGGAAUUCUUCGCUACCCCAGCAGCCGGCCAGGAAUGAAGGAUUUCCCAGGUCGACGAAACGCUCAAAAAUCCAUCGACUGGAAAUUCAGGCGGCCUUGAUCAUGUCGGCCAACAUUUUGCCGUUUUCGCUGUGCACUUUUCCCGUUUCGUGUUACGCCAUCGCUCUGUACUGGUGCCUCCGGCUGGACGGUGACUGCGACACCAUUCUGCUCACGUGGACUUACAUGUGGGACUUGUUUAUGCUGCACAGCAUCUACAAUCCCGUCAUGUUUAUGAGCACCAGUCCCGAAUUCUGGAAGGCCCUCGUCCGCAUCACGAGGAAAUGGACCGAAUUGUUUCACGUUGGCUUUCACGACGAGAAUUAGGCAAUUCAAUUGUUGUUGAGCGUUUCGCAAUGUUUGAUUGUGUUCCUGGUAUUCGUGGCCGGCAACAUUUCUUGUAUACUGAUUGUUGCGUGCACAUAAUCGUUCAAUUCGCUCGUCCAUUUCAGCUCGUCCGCAUCGCACGUUUUGUAUUCAAAUAAUGAAGUGGCCCAAAGGGGUUUUGUGGGGGCUGAUGCUUGCUGCGCAUUGGGUCGAGGUCUUUCAAUUUUGAAUAUAAUACUCUCCUACCUGUUGCGCCAUUCCUCAUCAUAAAUGUAUAUAGACUACAAGCUUCCCUAAAAUGAUAACAACAUUUAUUAAUAUAAGUUUUCUAUCGACGUCAAUUCCUUUUUUACUUAGCGCGUUUUAAUGCGUUUUCUACUGGCAAUAAAAAUGGCUAGACAGCUAGUUAAUUCUAGUCAAUCAAUAGGUUUUGGGACAGCACGGCACGUGUCUAUCGUUAACCUUUCGCCGUAACAUAUGAUUCUAAAAAUAACUCUAAUAAAGGCUGAAUAGCAAACUGACCUAUUGCCGCCAAAACGUUCCGCGCAUGCGAAACGGAAUAUACCUGUUAAUGUCCGAAACAGUUUGAAAAGAUAUUAGACCGGUAGAUUGAUGACUUAGUCGUUGAUAACACAUCAAGAUGGACGAAUCAGUGGUUAAUACUACUAACGUACUUCCACUAUCCUGGUGGGAGACGUUCGACUACCCCGUCAUGGAGCAGCGCAUCUCCCUGGCCCAAUAUUUUUACCGGACGUCGGUCAUUUUCGUCGGAUGGUUGGCCAAUUACUUUAUCGUGUUGGUGACGACUUUUUCGCCGUAUUUGCGCCAUCCCCGCCACAUUUUUUGGGCCGCCAUUUCGCUAAUAGAAUUCUUGUUUUUACUCAACACCGCCCUCGAGCUCAUCACCGUCCAAAAUCGGGAUUACUCCGUCUGCCCAUUUUGGGUCAUUUUCUAUCUCGCCGAUGACUCGGCCCUGAUGCUCUGCCAUUUGCUGGCAACCGUCGACCGCUACUUGUCCAUCGCCUGCUACGAAUGGUACAAGGCGAACGUCACCAAUCGGGCCGUCAUCCUGUUGAUCACGCUGGCUCUGGCCUUGUCGUUCGUCGUCAUCACGAGUCCGUUCUGGACGGGCUACAAGUCGAUUUACACCUGCACCGUCAAUUUGACUCACGUGCUUUCGGUCAAUGUCUGGAAUUUGUUGCUGGGCAUCGUUUGCCUCCUUCUACAAUUCAAGAUCUUUGACAAAACCAAGACGCUCGUUCGUAAUUACGUGCCGAAAUACCGUCGCUCCCUGUCCGCCAGCGUCAAAUUCGUUCAGUCCAUUCCGCCGGCUGAUAGUGGAAAUUCCGGUAAGUCUGGAAUCGAUUUGGUUUUAUCUUUUGUUUGGAAAUUCUAUUUGAAUGAACAAUUCGUCGUAUGUAUAGGAGGUGAGAGAACCGAGUCGAGAGUUUCCAUCACGUUCCACGAACCACCUGAUCCUGGAACUGAGAACGGAGAUGAUCGAAUGGAUCAGCUGCCGUCGGUCACGGAUCUGGAAGACGCCGAAUGUUUUUCGCGGAAGCCAAAGGGAUCGCGAAUCGGCCGGAUGGAAGUUCAAGCCGCCCACAAUUUGUUCGUCAACAUUUUGACGUUUUGGUUGUGCACCCUGCCGAUGAGCUGUUGCGUUUUGGUGACCUACUGGUGCGUCUGGGUGAAAGGCGAUUGCGAUGUCAUUUUCCAAACGUGGAUCUACGUGUGGAACGCGUACAUUCUCCACAGCAUUUACAAUCCCGUCAUGCACAUGUUCACCUGCUCCGAAUUUCACCAAUCGCUUUUCGAAAUGAAAGAACAUUUCAUCAGCAAAUGCUGUGCCACCGAAUAGAUAUAAGGAAAUUUUAUUUGAAAUCAAAAUGACUUGAAUGUAUUAACUUCCAGGUUCUUUUCACGCAUUUGAUAACUGAAUGCACGUUAUUUAUACCGAUCUUUAUCCUCUCAUUUUUGCAUUGAUCCUUUCCCAUACAGAGUGAAUCAGCGGACCUAUUUUUAUAGCCUAUUAGUAUAGCAAGGCUGUAUAUAUUCAUGUGGCCUGGGCAUAGAAAUAGGAAAGCAGUAUUCAUUCCAGGUUUCUUUUAUAGAAAGAUAAAUCUGUCGUUUGAUUGAAAGAAAAUUUAAUCAGCUUAUAUAGCUACUUGACUAUACUCACCUAAUGUACCUGAAAAGCAGUUCCUAUGUAUCAUCCUAUGAUACAGCCGCCUUGUAAUCCCUAGACCAGACUUUAUUGUAGCUAUGUACAUCACCGGGCGCGCUCCUUAUCGUCGUUUUUCUUAGACUGAACAACAGGUGUGUUUUGUAGAGCAAUUCGGUUUUUCUUGGUUAUAUUUGCUAUGAUACUUGUAUACAUGGAGGUAUCUGUUCCGAACUAGGUACAAGUUGGGCACAUCCUUCCACGCUAGACUGCAAUUUCACCAAUGAUGUGCUCGCUAUACCCCAACAUUUUACCUGCGUUCGUGGACCAGUGUUCCUGAAGUUGUGAAAUAUCAACUUACUCUUUUCCACUGUAUCAAAGUUUCCCGCUGCUACGAUAUAGGCAGUUGUCAGGUAAUUUGACUUGACAACGUUGGCUUUGCCUCCCGAUCAAUAUGUAAUGUAUAGCAUCUCAGAUUGAAAUAACCUUUCAUUUAUGAAUAAUUUCUACUCAUUAGCACUAGUAAAAAUGGUGCCUUAAAUUGAAUUUGGUCUAAAAUCAAUUAGCGGUUCCGUUGCGCUGCAAUAGGUAAAUCAAAAGUUCAAAAAUAAUCAAUUAAAAUGGGAGCCUUACAAUUUUGUGAACAUUUAAAUUUGACGAAAUAAUGAUUCAGGAAUAUGAAGAAGUUUUUCUUACAAUUUUUCUUUGUGGGUUAGUUGAUGACGCAACAUUUUCCUAGAAAAAUCGUUUGAAUUUUGAAGGUUAUGUAGUCCUAUCGGCCGCACAGUGUUGCCAUGGCUCUUUUUCUCUAUUUUAAUUAGUUUCUCUUUCCCUUAUAUUUUUGACUACCCUCUCCCUGGUUUCCUGUUGUUGACAAUUUAGGGAAUCGGUAUAGGAAAACAGUUGGGAUAUAUCCUACGUUCAGUCGACGACCAUCCCAGUAUGGGAGAAGAGCUCUUAUAGGAUCACCGAUAACCGAGAAUAACGUGUCUAGUCUCUGUUCACUGUGAAAAAUUGACAAAUAGUUCGUGGAAGGCUCAGUGGCUGAAUGCGUGGCUCCGUAGUAAUGUAACAUCGUUGCGCAUGCGAGGAGCCAAUUCUGUUGAAGCAAUAAAGAACACAAUAUCAACGAGUCUGGAUUCUUUGGUGCGAGACUGCAUUCUGUCGUGUUCCCAACGCCAGAAUGGACGGAAAUAAAUCAGCGCUCGCCAAUAACAUAACGUUGGGUAAAUAUGAUUAUCUAGUCAUGGAACAGGACAUCUCUGCAGUCCAACUUUUAUUUCGAACGUCGGUUAUUGGUGUUGGGAUCCUGUUGAAUUGUGUCGUCCUCUCUGUGGUGACCUUUUCACGUCAGCUUCACUAUCCCCGCCACAUUUUUUGGGCUGCCAUUUCCAUCUUCGAGUGCCUUUUCCUAGUCGAUAUGGCACUCGAGUUGGUGACAGUGCUCAGACGCGAUUACUUGGCCUGUCAGUUUGUAAUCCUUUUUUAUCCGGUCGACUAUUCGAUCCUGUUGAUCUGCAUGUCGCUGGCCGCAUUGGAUCGCUACUUGUCCAUCGUUCGCUUCGAGUGGUAUCAGGCGAACGUCACCAAUCGAGGUGUUAUUCUGUUGAUUGCGAUUGCGGUUGGGAUAACAUACGUCAUUUUUACGAGUCCAUUUUGGACGGGCUACCGCUCAAUUUUCACCUGCACCACCACUAUAAUCCACAGCGUUUGGGCCUUCACGUGGAAUUUGUUCUUGGGCAUCGUUUGCGUCGUUCUUCACUUCAAGAUCUUCAUUGAAACUAAAACUCUCAUUCGUCAAUAUGUUCCCAAAUAUUGUCGUAAGCCUGUCACGGUCAAGUUUGAGAAUAAAUCCUUCAUCCGACAGCCUAGUAACAUCAGCUCUGGUCCUAGUUUGAAAAACAUCGAAACGACUGAACAAGUUCUAUCCACCGUUUCCCAAAAUCCUUCCGGUGUUGGAGGAGAAAAUACAUCGAUCCUUUUUCAAGAUCCUGAAUUCAUGAUGCAGACGCACGUCAGCCAUCAACAAGAUAGCACGGAAGAAUGUCAUCACGAUUCUCAUCUGCCACCUGCAUCUCAGGCCAUCAACAAUCUAGGCGACACUGAAUCUUUUCCCUGGAUGCCAAUCCGCUCGAAAAUCAGCCGACUCGAAGUUCAAGCCGCUCUCAACUUGUCCGUCAACAUUCUGCCGUUUUGGCUGUGUACCCUUCCUGUGUCUUGUAAUACCAUUGUCUUUUACUGGUGCAUCCGGCUGGAAGCCAACUGUGACAACUUUAUGGUAACAUUGAUUUAUUUUUGGGACAUCUUUAUGCUUCAUAGUGUUUAUAAUCCAAUCAUGUACAUGGCCACUUGUUCGGAAUUCCGGCGGGCCUUUCUUCGCAUCGUAAAGAAGUUGUCAAACAAAUUUGAUUUUGCUUUACGCAAGUAAUUAUAAUUUAUCCUCCUCUCGUUGCUGCUAUUAACUAGCCUACCUGUUGUUGUUGAAUUGAAUAGUCCGCUCGAUCGACCGAUAGUCGUCUCGAUAAGUCAACUGCCGAAGUCUGUUUGUCGUAUGCCGUAAUAUUACGUUACGUAAGAUAUCAAAUUUCUGUUCCCUAUUUCUUUAUCCUUUCAAACGGGAAUGGAAAGUGAUUAAUCUCUGGGUUUACAAAAAAUUCAGAUUUUUGCCAAAUCUUUUCAUACUUCCCAAAUCGAUUUCUGCAAAGUCGAAUGUUCUUAUGACAUAGGAGCUUAUAACCUACUUGCUUUUAUUAUUUUCAACUGUUUGAAAAAAACUGACCUUUCUGAAUUCAAUAUCAAAUGAGGAUUGGGCGAACGAAGUGCUUAGGAAAAGGUGGUUGCCAUGUGAGCCACAAUAGGAAAACAAGAAGCUCGACCAUUGUUUUUCGCAAAAUUUUUGGAUUUCAUCUUGAAUGUUGUAAAAUGGGGGGAUGCAACUUAAAUAAUCCUUUUUAUUUUUUCCAUUGCGGCAACCUGUUGCUAUGGUAACCUUCAUAUUUAUAUUCAAAUGCGUCAAAUUAUGCUUGAGCUCAACCUACCAUACGAUUACAUGUUGUAAACCUAUAAAACAAACAACUUAAAUGAUGA
This 7652-nucleotide unclassified non-coding RNA is filed under the name Daphnia pulex (common water flea). Its description in RNAcentral is "tyramine receptor Ser-2-like, transcript variant X1". The record is from RNAcentral. Lineage: Eukaryota; Metazoa; Arthropoda; Branchiopoda; Diplostraca; Daphniidae.